This is a long non-coding RNA of Sinocyclocheilus anshuiensis, 1886 nucleotides long. The record is from Ensembl. NCBI's taxonomy places the organism in Eukaryota, Metazoa, Chordata, Actinopteri, Cypriniformes, Cyprinidae.
GACGCUAUCCCCCGGUUUCACAGACAAAGCUGGUCAAGACUAGUCCCAGACUAAUGCAUUACCGAACCGUCAUAUUUGUGUACCGUUACACCCCUACUAUAUACACAUUUUUUAAAUCUUAAAUUGUAGUUUAUAUUAAUUAUUGUAAUUUCAAACAACUAUUACAGCGCUUUUCUGAUUCUUGAUUUCUGUGCAUUUGCAGGAGAUCUUUUGUGGUGGAGCAGGACCUGCAAGGCAAGGUGAUGGCGGCGUUUGUGAAAAAAAGGGAAAACCUGAAACAAAAAUAUAAAUAAGAUAAUUUUGUUACUUCCAAUACAGAAAUCAGAUGACAUUAUGCUGUUAAAAUGACUGCUUUUGUAUUGUGUUUGUGCAUCUUUGCAGGAUCUGAAAUGUCUGCAGACUGGUGUGAGUAGUGAGGAUGGAGAAGUCCACAGCAGCAUCCUGGAAAUGGUCCAGUGCCGCGGAUGAGACGCUCCAUCACUCCACCUCUUACUGUCUCAUCAGGACCAGAUGUUGCUGUGGUCUCUUCAUCCUCAGUGAUGAGUUUGGUCAAGUUUGUUCUGCUGGUUUCUGUUCAUACAAUGAAGGCUGACUUUCAGAAGCUUCAAAAGCAUCAUCAAAAAAUGUCAUGAAGCUUUUAUCCAAAGUGAUUUACAGUGCUCUUAUUACAGGGACCUACAAUCCCCUGGAACGACCUGGAUUGCUCAGGGACAUACUGGUGGUUUUGAACCAGAAACCUUCUGCUCACCAGUUCAGUGGUUUAGCCCACUACAAAAGUAGUCGUGCUCAUGGAAAGCAGCACACAAAUGUUUGGAGCAGACACAGUGGCAGCCAGAUUGUCCCACAUGUGUUCCCCUGCUCUUGCUUCUAGGUUGUGUGGUUCAGAGAGCCGUCAUCAUGGUCUUCCUCAUCCUCUUGCUCAACGAUGUCCCCAUUGAGAAGAGCGAGAUUGUGAAGCACAGCGCAGCAGCAGAACGGUCUCAGCUGUGUUGAGAUGGAGUAGGAUGUGGGGUUCACCAUCUGUAAAUACAUGAUUGUUAGAACAAUAAGUUUGAAUGAAGCUUUGUUUCAUCUGUUGUUGACUUGUAUAUGUAUGUAUUUAUUGUGAUGCUUGCUUUUAUUCAUUCCUUUACUCAUUUAUUCAUGUUUUUGUUGUCAGUAAAUAAAAUAUUAAUAUUUUAUUAAUUCAUGUAUUAAUUGCUUGACUGAAAAUUGAUGUAUUCACAUCGACUGCAUUUGUUCAACUAGUGUAUAUUUAUGUAUAGCUAUGUCACGACAAAAAAAUAUAUAUUUUGUUCAUUUUAAGUAAAAAAAAAAAAAGUAAUUAUUGGUUAGCAUUUAUCAUUAUUAUUGCAUGUAAGUGUUGGGGUGGGCAAACGAUGCAAUUCAUUCUGGGGUAAUCUUAAUGUUUAAGUAGUAAUACUUACAUUUUUAGAGUAUAAAAUCAACAGUCUUCUCCAAAGGCGAGAUCUUCGAGCAGCUGCCCGACAUAUCCUUUGUGCAGAUAUUGCAAACGCUGAGGAAAACAGUACUAGAUUGUUGAGUUAGUGAUGCUAUGAGGUGUUAGUGCACCUGUCCCUCUUUUUUAUUAUUAUUAUUGCCGAACUUAUAAUUACAUAAAAGAUCAGGGAAAGAUGGUUGUAUCUAACAAUGAACAAUCAUAAUGGCAUAUAUUAUAUUAGUGUUAUAUUACACCCCUACUGUGUUAUUCCUAUGCAUGUCUGCAAAUGUUUGUACUUUCUUCUACACUGGAAGCUCCUGUCGUCACGUCAAAUUCCUUGUGUGUGUAAACAUACUUGGUAAUAAAGCUAUUCUGAUUCUGAUAAAACGGUUUAAACAAAUUCAUGUGUUCAUCAUAGUAUGAGAAUAUACACAGAAAAAAAGCG